GAAUCUUCUAGAUAAAAAUAAUAAUUGAAGGUCCAGAUAAUUUGCUAGUUUUAUAAAUGGAAGACAUACGAGCAGUAAGAGAAUCCCCUGAAAAUUAUGAUAUCCACUCAAUUUUCAUGAGAUGCCUCACAACAGCUCGCUCCCAAAAGAAAAGGAUCAGUGGUAGGACAUGGCCACCUUUUUCAGGCCUCAAAUUCAACUGCACAGAAAUCUUAAGGCCUGGCCUGGAUCGACGCAUCCUAUAGUAACCUAAUAAUCGAAUCUCAUAAUUUAAAUUCUCAUUGUCCUUUUUUUUCCUUUAGAAAUUUGAAGUAGCAAAGGUUUCAUCUCCUAGUUAAGUUACAAGUCUAAGCACAGCUUCGACGGUGAGAUUCAGACCGCCGUGAACAGGCUUACUGAGAGCUGUAAAUACUAUAAAGCAUAGCCUGAAGGGUGGGUAAAAUCACGCAGAGAAUGCUAAAUUUUUGCCGCUUUAAGUUUGGCAGUUUUCAGUUUUGUUUGUGGUCAAAAGACGACAGCCGAGGGGCUCAUUUCAGCAAAUCCAAACAUCUAAUGCCUAAUGGUAAUAGUUCAACCUUGGAAUUUUUCAUAAAGCAUAAUGACAAACCUGUCCACUUGACGAGGCACGAACUUUCUUGCAAGCCUGAUUUUCUAGUCCAUUCCUCCAAAU
Molecule: unclassified non-coding RNA, 670 nt
Filed under: Hevea brasiliensis (rubber tree)
Lineage: Eukaryota; Viridiplantae; Streptophyta; Magnoliopsida; Malpighiales; Euphorbiaceae
Source: RNAcentral